Hevea brasiliensis (rubber tree) is the source of this 3053-nucleotide RNA transcript. It is a transcript of the gene named protein trichome birefringence-like 11, with no coding region annotated. Lineage: Eukaryota; Viridiplantae; Streptophyta; Magnoliopsida; Malpighiales; Euphorbiaceae. The transcript has 5 exons. The record is from RefSeq and is a predicted model, not a curated record.
CGAUCACGUUCACAUCGCAUUCACAUUAUCUCCACUUUCUCUCUCUUUCUCUGUCUGUCAACUGCUCGAUGUAAUUGCCAUUUACUGAAACCGAUACCAAUUUCUGCUCAUUGGAGUUGGCCCUCUUCAAGCUUUUCUCUACACAAUCGCAAAUCUUGUUCAUUCAUUCUUCUUAUCAUAUUCAAGUACCAGGGAGUAUUUCUUUUGCUUGAAAUCACAUUAAUUCCACCCUCUGUUUCUGAAUUAUCACCUUUCCCACCAAGUACUGGCCUUUGCUCUUUUCCACCAAUGCUAAUUUGCUUAGCCUGAAACGCAUUGAAUGCUUAAUAAAGUGCUCUGAAUUGUUUUCAUCUUCAUGUUCAUCGCCCAGGUUCUGCCAAUCAGAACUUCCAUCUCUCUCUUUCUGUGAAAAAUGUUUUAAAUGCUGUAAUUAUUAUUAUUUCAUUUCUUCAUUAUCUAAACAAGACAAAACAAAACCACCCCAUAUACUGCAAAACCGGUUUUUGCCAUUGAUUUCUUUCUCUUUGAUACCCCACCCUCCAUGAUCCCCUCUCAUUAGACCCACCAUUUUUAAAGAACGAACGCCCUUUUGUACCAUCUUUGAGCACAAAAUAUCCUUGAUUAACAGUAGCGGCAACACCGCAUCUUCACAAUAUCACCAGGACACAAUGACCCACUUGGACUUGUGCAAGAAAUUCAAACGCUUGAAUCCUCUUGAGCCCUCUCUUGGCAUUCUUGGUUUCCUUCUGGUCACUCUCCUUUUCAUUGGCUGCUUCUUCUACUUGGAUUACCGAUCUGUCACUCGUGGCCUGCGGCACCAUGGGGUUUCUUGGCUGGGACUGGUUACUCCAUCUUCAUCAUCAGAACUGAAUACUGAUAAUGGACGGCCGGGUUUUCUUGAUAAGCGUGGUGUUGGGUGUGACAUUUUUGAUGGGAACUGGAUUUGGGACGAUAGCUAUCCCUUGUAUCAGAGUAAAGAUUGCUCCUUUAUAGAUACUGGGUUUAGGUGUUUAGAGAAUGGAAGGCCUGACAGUUUCUACACCAAGUGGCGUUGGCAACCCAAUCAUUGUGACUUGCCGAGAUUUGAUGCAAAGGUGAUGUUGGAAAAGCUGAGGAACAGGCGGCUUGUAUUUGUUGGGGACUCAGUUGGAAGAAACCAAUGGGAGUCCCUCCUUUGUAUGCUUGCCACUGCUGUUCGUGACAAUUCUUCAAUCUAUGAGGUGAAUGGGAGGCCAAUCACAAAGCAUAGAGGGUUUCUAGCGUUCAUGUUCAAGGACUAUAAUUGCACUGUUGAAUAUUACAGAGCUCCAUUUCUAAUUUACCAGGGCCGUCCUCCAGUUGGUGCUCCAGAAAAGGUGAAAAUGACUUUAAGAGUAGAUAAAUUGGAUUGGACUUCCCCUCAGUGGAGAAAUGCGGAUGUGUUGAUUUUCAACUCUGGUCAUUGGUGGAAUUAUGAGAAGACCAUAAGAGUGGAUUGCUACUUCCAAGAGGGGGAUGAGGUAAAGAUGGAUAUGAGCGUUGAAACUGCAUACCGAAGAUCACUUGAAACUUUGAUUGAUUGGACGCAUAGCAAAAUAAAUAUGAGCAAGACUCAAGUCUUCUUUCGAACCUAUGCUCCUAUUCAUUUCAGAGGUGGCGAUUGGAAGACUGGUGGUAGCUGUCACAUGGAAAAGCUUCCUGACUUGGGCUCACUGCCGAGUUCAUCAGAUUACCAUUUCAAAAUACUUUUCGAUGUGUUAUUAGAGCACUCAAAUGAAUCACAUGUGAUGAACUUGGAUUUAUUGAAUGUGACGAACAUGGCAGCACAGAGAAAGGAUGGCCAUGCAUCUGUGUACUAUCUAGAGCCUGGAAUUGGUCCAGCUUCUCUACACCGUCAAGACUGCAGUCAUUGGUGCUUGCCUGGUGUCCCUGAUUCCUGGAAUGAACUUCUUUAUGCAUUUCUUCUCAAGCGGGAGUCUGCUCAUGCACAAAAUUCAACAGAAUCUUCUCAAGCUCCAUUGUGAUUAGUACAGAUAGCUUUCUGAUUUUUCCAACAUGAUUAGAGUGCAGGUUCCUUGCACCAACCGGCAAAAUCAUCAUUUUGUAUAUUGGUUUCUAUUUGAUCAAUCAUAGUUUGCCAUAACACCUCUGGCAAACGAUCAAAUUAUACUAUUUUUGGCGAUGGUCUUCCGUCCCUCUAUCUUGAAUGUACCAUGAUGGUGAUUGAACAGAAGAUGAGCCUAAUAGGCAUCAAGAGAGGUGAGAGAAUCAUGGCAGCGGAUUUGUAGUACAGGCAAGUUGACGAAACAAAGUUGAUACUCAGGAAGAGAAUGUAGGUGUUGAACUGUAAAGCUUGUCAAACUGAUGAUAUCGAAUUGCGAGAAGCACAUAAAGCAGGGGUUGCACUAGAUGAUGUUGACAAGGAUGGCAAGGAGAUCAGUCCUCAUUUUCCCUUUUCCCCCAGUAUAUGUUAUAAUGUUAUCUGCACCUUUGCACAGCUUGAAAUCAACAGCUUGCCAAUAAAUCACAUCCAGCUAUGGUCGUUAUGUUGAGAUAAGUGAAAUCUGCUUGGGAAAUUAAAGGAGAAAACAGAUGGGGACCAAAAUGAUGUUGAUGUUGGCGGGGGUUUAGUUAUAAGCUCGGGGAUGAUCUGAUGUAGAUUAUCCUAUCUUUUAAUGGGGGCAAUGCACUUUGAGAAGCAGAGGAACUGUUCGUCAGGGCCAUGUUUAGCCGUAGGAUACAGUUUUUGCUGGUUUAACUUUCCAGUAUUCUUCUGUAUUUCCAAUAGAAAAUUAGAAAACAUGUUCAAACAAAGCUGGUUUCCAAAUGUUGGAAAACUGGAAACCUGGAGAUCUUGUUCAAAAUCUCACAUUUCCAGUAGCAAGUCUAUUCCCAGUUCUGCCAUUAUCAUCAUUCCAAAUGGAGCGUCUAUGAAGCUGUCUAUUUCCUGUUAGGAAUUUCCUUUCUUUGCCAUCCCAUGAUGCAUGUAUUUUCUAUCAUUCAGGAAAAUUGUAGUAUGAGGUAUUUCCUAUAGUAGUUGCAUUAUAGUUGACGGUGAUAGCGCUGAUGUUUUA